RNAcentral lists this ribosomal RNA (497 nucleotides) under uncultured bacterium. RNAcentral's name for it is "partial 16S ribosomal RNA". It matches the Rfam family "Bacterial small subunit ribosomal RNA", at positions 28 to 507 of the family's 1533-position model. The record is from RNAcentral.
GAUGAACGCUGGCGGCGUGCCUAAUACAUGCAAGUCGAGCGAACAGACGAGGAGCUUGCUCCUCUGACGUUAGCGGCGGACGGGUGAGUAACACGUGGAUAACCUACCUAUAAGACUGGGAUAACUUCGGGAAACCGGAGCUAAUACCGGAUAAUAUAUUGAACCGCAUGGUUCAAUAGUGAAAGACGGUUUUGCUGUCACUUAUAGAUGGAUCCGCGCCGCAUUAGCUAGUUGGUAAGGUAACGGCUUACCAAGGCAACGAUGCGUAGCCGACCUGAGAGGGUGAUCGACCACACUGGAACUGAGACACGGUCCAGACUCCUCCGGGAGGCAGCAGUAGGGAAUCUUCCGCAAUGGGCGAAAGCUUGACGGAGCAACGCCGCGUGAGUGAUGAAGGUCUUCGGAUCGUAAAACUCUGUUAUUAGGGAAGAACAAAUGUGUAAGUAACUAUGCACGUCUUGACGGUACCUAAUCAGAAAGCCACGGCUAACUACGUG